RNAcentral lists this ribosomal RNA (403 nucleotides) under uncultured bacterium. RNAcentral describes it as "bacterial SSU rRNA". It matches the Rfam family "Bacterial small subunit ribosomal RNA", at positions 356 to 773 of the family's 1533-position model. The record is from RNAcentral.
AGGGAAUAUUGCGCAAUGGGGGGAACCCUGACGCAGCGACGCCGCGUGAAGGAAGAAGGCUUUCGGGUUGUAAACUUCUUUGAUUGGGGAAGAAGGAAGUGACGGUACCCAAAAAAUAAGCCACGGCUAACUACGUGCCAGCAGCCGCGGUAAUACGUAGGUGGCGAGCGUUGUCCGGAAUUACUGGGUGUAAAGGGCGUGUAGGCGGGAGUGCAAGUCAGAUGUGAAAUACCACGGCUCAACUGUGGGGGUGCACCUGAAACUGUGCUUCUUGAGUACUGGAGAGGGAAGCGGAAUUCCUAGUGUAGCGGUGAAAUGCGUAGAUAUUAGGAGGAACACCAGUGGCGAAGGCGGCUUCCUGGACAGAGACUGACGCUGAGGCGCGAAAGCGUGGGUAGCGAAC